AUACAGAGGGUGCAAGCGUUAAUCGGAUUUACUGGGCGUAAAGCGCGCGUAGGUGGCUAAUUAAGUCAAAUGUGAAAUCCCCGAGCUUAACUUGGGAAUUGCAUUCGAUACUGGUUAGCUAGAGUAUGGGAGAGGAUGGUAGAAUACCAGGUGUAGCGGUGAAAUGCGUAGAGAUCUGGAGGAAUACCGAUGGCGAAGGCAGCCAUCUGGCCUAAUACUGACACUGAGGUGCGAAAGCAUGGGGAGCAAACAGGAUUAGAUACCCUGGUAGUCCAUGCCGUAAACGAUGUCUACUAGCCGUUGGGGCCCUUGAGGCUUUAGUGGCGCAGCUAACGCGAUAAGUAGACCGCCUGGGGAGUACGGUCGCAAGACUAAAACUCAAAUGAAUUGGCGGGG
Molecule: ribosomal RNA, 396 nt
Filed under: uncultured bacterium
Lineage: Bacteria
Description: partial 16S ribosomal RNA
Rfam family: Bacterial small subunit ribosomal RNA
Source: RNAcentral